CCCACCGGCCCGGGAUUAAGGGGCUCCUGCGGCCGCGGGCCCCGAGCUCGGGCGCCAGGUAAGUCCCGCCGGGCGGCGCGGAGGUGCCCUGCGCCCCCCCCCCCCCGCCUGCGCCCCGCGGCAGCGGCUCAGAGCCCCGGGCCCGAGGCGGGAGGCGGUGCUGGGGGCGCUCCCGGGCCGGCGCCGCCGCUCUCGCGUGCGUGUGGGUGCGGGGCCCACGGGUACGUGCGGGGCGGGUGCGCGCUCACAAAUGUGCGGACCGAGCAGUCUCUAUACAGAGCUGCGGGGGAGGGGAGGGAGAAGGGCGAGAAGGACAAGUGCCCCGCGGGAACUGGAAGAGGCAAGCCCCGUUGCCCGGUCCCGGACCGCUCCUUCCGUCCUUGCACGGGCUUUCUCGGCCCGGCACUUUGUGGUCCUGUAUUUGGGAUCCUCUCUGAUGCAGCGCUUUGUUUAGUUUCCUUUCCGUCGGCGUUUAAUCUCCUCCUGUUUUGUCUUUUACAUAUUUUUUUUAAAGGAGGGAAACACAAACCCCUCCCCCCCCCCGCCCCCCACAAGGGAAGUGCUAGAGGCAGGGCUCGGAGCCGGGCCUUCCUGGCCCCUCGUCCUCAGCGCCGCCGGCAACGGCAGCUCCCUUGGAGCCCGCGCUUUCGGCCACAGGCAGUCCGGCAAACGCCGGGGAAGCAGACGAAGGAAGCGGACCCACGGUCCCGCUUCCACAGAGGCUCUUCCCGGAGGACAGAGGCCUCCGAGAAGGAGGAAAGAAGGGGCGAGGUGCAGCUGCCGGGGUCGGAUCAGGAAGGCCUCCUGGUGACCUUGAAUCAGUUGUCUCAGUGAACUUUUACUUUCGGACCGCUCCUGGAGCCACCUUCUCACCUGGCAUCCGCCGCGCUCUCUACCUCCGGUCCCGCCUGCUGCCAUGAUCAAGUUUCAGGCACGACUUUCGGAAGGAAGACUGGGAUUCUGAGCAGGAGCGAGGAGGGAGAGCACCUAGGCAGCGGUUCUGGACAAAGGCUCUGAGUGGGAGAUGGAACAGCCUGUCCAGGAACACAGCUGCGCCUUUCUGACCGGCUGUGGAGCAACUUGACUAUGCCUAAACUCAUCUCCUUGCCCCGGUUUCCCUAAUCAUCGCCCUUGUUCAGUGCCCCAUUGCCUCUUAUCUGGGUUGCUGCUCUUUAAUCGGUGCCAGUGCUCGGUACAUGGUGAUCUAAUUGGUUUAUAAGCAUAUAGUAUGCCUUAAAGGCAGGGAUUUUUUUAUUUUUAUUUUUUUUGGCUUGUAUUUGUGCGUCUAAGCCAUAGCACUUUGCCUGGCACAGAGUAAGCAAGUGAUGCUUUUUGACUUGAGCCUUGCCGGAAUCCUAGGAGAAAGAGUGCUUCUGAGAUAUUCUGUGAGAACAAACCAAACUCCAGGGGCCCAUGCAGAGGCCUGGGGGGCAGGAACCAUACUGCCUGUGGGCUGAAAGCACAGGAUUGGGACAGCCUGGCCCUGUGGUGGAGCUCAAGUUUGAAGAAGUCCAGGAUUCGAGUCUUGUUUCUAAGCUAUACUGGCAGUAUGACUUCACUUCUCAGCGCUGACAAUUCCUGCAGAAAUAAAUAGGGUUAGUGGACCAAGACGUAUCUUUUCAGAGAUCAGAACUAUAUCCACAUUUUAUAGCAGGGAAACAAGAAAAUAAUUCAAUUCAGAAAUUUAUUAUUUGACAAGUAUUUACUAUGUGCUGAGAUUAAACUGGCCUCAGACACCUAACUAGCUGUGUGAUGUUGGGCAAAUCACUUCAUCCUAUUUGCCUCAGUUUUCCUCAUCUGGAAAAUGAAUUAGAGAAAGAAAUGGCAAAUCAUUCCAGUAUCUUUGCUAAACAAACAAACAAAAAAAACAAAACCCUAAUUGGGACUGUGAAGAAUCGGACAUGACUGAAAAAUGACCGAAAGACUGUGUCUUUGGAUUGGAGAUUCAGAGGUGAAAUGAGACCCAAGUCUUGUCCAGAAGGAAAUUUUAUGGUGGUGGUGAUGUUGGAGAAGAGAUAAUAUAGAUAAUUGGGAGAGAGGCAGAAUGGUCGAAUAGAGUGUUUUGGGCUUCCAUUCAAGAAUGGGGAGAGCACUUUUUUCUGGGGAAGAGUGAGUCUUAGUCUCCUCAUCUGUAAAAUGGGAUAUAGAGGGGCAGCUAGGUAGUGCAGUGGAUAGAGCACCAGCCCUGAAGUCAGGAGGACCUGAGUUCAAAUAUGGUCUCAGACACUUAACACAUCCUAGCUGUCCUGACCCUGGGUAAGUCACUUAAUCCCAGUUGCCUCAGCAAAAACAAAAGACAAUAAAAAAAAAAAAAAAACUAUACUAAAAUGGGAUACAGAUAUGGCAGUGCCUCCCUCACAGGGUUGUUGCUCAUUUCUGUUCUCAUCUCUGUGCAGUCCAGUGCCGAGUUCUUACAAUGGUGUCCUACUUUGACCACUCCUUUUUAACGUUAGAAAAUGUUGCAGCCCUCUGUUCCCCUUCUUUCGUCCCCUGUGGUAGUUCCAAGAAGUUCUGCUGAUUAAGAAAGCAAACUAUUACAAAAUGAGUCUGGUGACACUUAAAUGACUGGGAAAACACCCAUGAAGUUCAAAAGUAACUGUGUAUAAGUCUGUCCCUCAUGGGCGUCAAGGCCACCUUUUAUUAGUGAUAUGCAGGAGCCCAGAUGAAGCAUUGGUUGCUUAUACUGGGAGAGCCCAUGAUUCCCAGAAUUGCAGACUGGGGGGGGGAACCCCCAAAGAGCAUCCAGGCCAGUUCUUGAAGAGGAGUCUUUUACAGAAUAUUCCUCAUGAGAGAGUUUGCUCAGGCUUGGCUUAAACACCUCCUUGAGCUGUGUUGUUGGAGCCCAAGGCCAGACUCAGUGUUCUGGGAGUGACAGUGCCUCUGUCCAGGAUUUCUCAAUCAUAGAUUUCAAAGGGGACUGGGAAUUGAUUUUAAAAAAUAUUUUGACAAUUCUGUUUCAGUAUAAUUGAUUUUCUUUGUAAUCUUCUCUAUUUUAUUUUAUGCUUUUAAAGGGAGGGAACCAUGGUCUUCACAGGACUGCCAAAAGAGGUCCACAGAAAAAAAGAGUGGGGGUUAGAACGUUCUGAUCCUUGGAUGCUUUUAUUUUACAGAUGGGGAAAGUGAGGCUUAGAGCAGGUACGUCACAUAGUGUCACAGUCCCAUAGUCAGUGCUAAGGCUGAGAUGUGAGGCUGGAGCUCUUAAGUAUAAAUCCGUUGAUCUGCCGUAGAAUGCUGCCUUUUCACUCUCUGCUGAGGGCAGAGGAGGGCAUUCUCCUCCCCUUCCCCCAUUAGGAGGGAACUUCUCUGAGACCAGGGGCUGUUUUCCUUUCUCUCUCUCUCUCUCUUUUUUUGGGUCUUUGCACAAUGCCAGGCAGUAAUAAAUGUUUAAUCAGGUUUUUUUUUCGUUUUUUGUUCUUAGUUUUGUUUUGUUUUGUUUUGCUAUUUUAUUGGCAGCAAAGCCCUAAUUUGUUGACAGAGGGAAGAGAGGAUGGAUUGGAGGUAUCAGCAUUUAUUAAUCAUAUGUGUUCUAGAUAUAGUGCUAGGUGUUAAUGGUACAAUCAAGAUGCAUUUAUUAAGCACCUAGUGUGUGCCAGGUGCUGUUAGGGAUGGAUAUACUGAGAUCAAAACCAUCCCUGAUUAGAGUCAACAAGGACAUAGAAAAGCUGGAAGUAGGAGCCAGGUGUGUGAUUGUGCCAGCUGGGUCACUGGGAGUUAAUGCCUUUCUCCUUUGACCCAUUGAUCCUCCUGCUGGUUACACCCCAAGAGGAAAUCAGAUUGGAAAGAGUCAUCUCCAAAUAUUCCUACAUAUUCUUUGUGAAAACAAAGGGGUCCCCACCAGGAAUACCUUGUGCCGUGAUCCUAUUCCAGUCUCUUCAUUGGACAGAUAAGGAAACUGAGUGUGUUCCAUUUAAAAAAAAAUAUAUUAAUAUUUUUAAAUUUACCUUUGAUUUUCUUUGCUUGGGUAGGUUCAUUUUGGGUGGGAAGAUGGAUGAAAAUGAUGAUUAUCAAUGAUUAUAUUCGCAUAUAUGUAUAGAUGGUUAUAAAAAAUCCCCAGACAUCAGUAAAAACUUCAGAAGUCAGGGGUCUGUUCCUGGUUGGUAGUUGGGCCCAGCCUGGCAAUGAGUGGAGGGAGGGAUGGGAAAGCCAUUGCUCGGUGAGUUGGGAAAAGGAGCUGUUGAAAGGCUGAGUGUUGAAAUAGGACAAAGGCCAUUUCCAGGGGGAGGGAGGGCUGAGCCGGGACUCUGGGCUGCAGGGGACCUCAGCAGUCACCUUCUCCAGCCUGUGUCAGAUCAGGGAACCUGGGGGACCCAGGGAAAGGUGGGCGCGGCCAGUUUCCCCGGCUCUGGAGGGCGGGUUCCCCUGGAUUCUGGACAAGCCGGGAUUGCACAAAACCGCUAGAGGGAGAGACACCCCGGCUGGAGUGGGGUCUGUGCUGACGCAUGACCAGGCCCCCACUGGCAGUUCUGGGCCUUUCCCUGGGCGACCCCAUCCUCAGCUGGACCCCCAGCCUUCCGUCAGCCCUCUGCUCCCGUUUUCCCGGCCACAGAGACCUCGCCCCACCUUAAUGCCUCCCCUUGUCUUUGUCCCCGGCUCCUUGGGGCUGGGAGCCCGAGAUCUCCUCCAGGGACCUUUUUUUGUUGUUGUUGCCUUUGUUUGUACCCAGGGCUUAGCACGUGCUUGGUACACAGCUGGUGUUUAAUGAAUGCUUGCUGAUGGACAGCAUGAGGCCUUGUUAGCACGCCGCACGCUGGGGGCUGGGUUGGGUGGGAGGUGUCCCAGCAUCCCCUCC
Molecule: long non-coding RNA, 4789 nt
Filed under: Sarcophilus harrisii (Tasmanian devil)
Lineage: Eukaryota; Metazoa; Chordata; Mammalia; Dasyuromorphia; Dasyuridae
Description: lncRNA (ENSSHAG00000025939.1)
Source: RNAcentral